Long non-coding RNA from Molossus molossus (Pallas's mastiff bat), 553 nucleotides. RefSeq lists it as uncharacterized. Lineage: Eukaryota; Metazoa; Chordata; Mammalia; Chiroptera; Molossidae. The record is from RefSeq and is a predicted model, not a curated record. The transcript has 4 exons.
UCUAGGUGUGUGCCUUGUGGCUGCUGCCAGAUGCCUGGCUUUGCCUUCCUCCUCCAGGAACUGAGUUCGAUCUCCUCUCCCUUCUCCUCAUUCUGCUCAAUGUAUUCCAUUCCCUUAGGCCAGCGCCCUACCAGACAGAAGCCCUAGAGGUACCAUCUGGUCUUUGAAGUUGAAUGACUGAUACAUUAUUCUCCAACAUGUUUCUACUAUGGCGCUUAAACUGCUUUGUGGUUCAAGAUCUGGCAACUUUAAUGUCAAGUACCCAAAUUCAUAUACCUUCACUCAUAAUUCAAGCUAAGAAACUGAGAAUUCCCUUCGGUUAGAGCUGCUACCCAUCUCAUCAGCUGAAUCCAAGUGUAUUUCUUACCAUGCAUCACAGGACAGUUCAGACCUGAGGCUCCACUACAAAAAGACAGAAUAUGGUCGAGAAGAGAUGUGGAACAUUUAAGAUGACUUACAGGAUGUUACAAUCUCAGAACACCCUUCUAACAAGGUAGGCUAUGAAUCCAUCUGCCUCCUCCCAUCCUCACUAAGCAAGUUUCUUACCCCAAAG